Molecule: ribosomal RNA, 274 nt
Filed under: uncultured bacterium
Lineage: Bacteria
Description: partial 16S ribosomal RNA
Rfam family: Bacterial small subunit ribosomal RNA
Source: RNAcentral
AUACGAAGGGAGCAAGCGUUGUUGGGAAUAACUGGGCGUAAAGCGCACGUAGGCGGAAUGUUAAGUUAGAGGUGAAAUCCCAGGGCUCAACCCUGGAACGGCCUUUAAUACUGGCAAUCUAGAGACCGAGAGAGGUGAGUGGAAUUCCGAGUGUAGAGGUGAAAUUCGUAGAUAUUCGGAGGAACACCAGUGGCGAAGGCGGCUCACUGGCUCGGUACUGACGCUGAGGUGCGAAAGCGUGGGGAGCAAACAGGAUUAGAAACCCCAGUAGUCC